UCGCUUCAGUAGCACAUAUACUAAAACUGGAACAAUACAGAGAUUGGCGUGGCUUCUGCGCAAGGAUGAUAUGCAAAUUUGUGAAGCAUUCUAUAUUUUU
Molecule: small nuclear RNA, 100 nt
Organism: Callithrix jacchus (white-tufted-ear marmoset)
Lineage: Eukaryota; Metazoa; Chordata; Mammalia; Primates; Cebidae
Source: Ensembl